Molecule: long non-coding RNA, 877 nt
Filed under: Trifolium pratense (red clover)
Lineage: Eukaryota; Viridiplantae; Streptophyta; Magnoliopsida; Fabales; Fabaceae
Description: long non-coding RNA (TPRA_LNC001654)
Source: RNAcentral
UUCAAGCCAGGUAUAUGUAUUUCCUUUCUAAUUUUUGUCCGCAUUUCAUUAAUUUUAGUUUAAACUUUGAACAAUUGAAAUAUAUUUUUGAGCAAAAAAGAAGACAGUGAAUAGGUGUUUAGGUAUGUCCUACGAUGUUUUCUCUCUAGGCCUCUCAUGUAUCUUUUAUACCCCAAAUAUUCCAAUUUUGUCCUUGCUAAAAACUUCGGUUCGCAAAAACCGAAGUUUUUUCUAGUUCAAAUUCAGGGAAAAUUCGGUUAACAGAAACCGAAUUUUUUUUUCAAGGCAAAAAAAAAUCGGUUCAUAGCAACCGAAGUUUUUUUUGAAGGGCAAAAAAGUAAAAUCCAAGGGGGGAAGAACCAUGGGGGGCCUAAAGAGAAAACAUCAUGUCCUACUGGUGUUUGCUUAUUUCUGGUUUUUAACAUGUUCAAAAUCUGCCUCUGCUGCCUUGUUUCUAGUUUUUUAGUUGACAGUUUUUGCCCUCGACGUUGGAUCGCUUAUAAGUUGCCUGUCUUGGUGUUUUCUGGUGGUGUUGCGGCUGCGUUUGUCCUCUUGCUAUGUGCAGCGACAUUGCAUUUUUGCUGCUAGUUUUUUAUUUUUAUUUUGUUGUAAUGUCCUAUAUUGUUUAUGAGAUUUAUAACUAGUUUUUGGAUCAAUAUAUGUUUUGGCCAUUUAGAAAUAUAUGAUUCUAGUGUUAUAGUCCCGUCAAUAUGGAGUCUUCGUUUGUAUAUGUUUUGGCCACUUAGUCUUGUGUGAUUCUAGUGUCAAUAUUAGUGACUGGAUUGUGUUGUAACAAAUGGAUUGUGACUAUGUAUUUGAUUAUGAUUAAUGAAAAUCAAAGGUAUUUAUUUUUUAAAUUCCAGAGAAUGUCGAANNN